GUAGUCAUAUGCUUGUCUCAAAGAUUAAGCCAUGCAUGUCUAAGUAUAAGCACUCAUACUGUGAAACUGCGAAUGGCUCAUUAAAUCAGUUAUCGUUUAUUUGAUAGUACCUUUACCUGGAUAACCGUGGUAAUUCUAGAGCUAAUACAUGCUAAAAACCCCAACUUCGGGAGGGGUGUAUUUAUUAGAUAAAAAACCAAUGCCCUCUGGGCUCCUUGGUGAUUCAUAAUAACUUAACGAAUCGCAUGGCCUUGCGCCGGCGAUGGUUCAUUCAAAUUUCUGCCCUAUCAACUUUUCGAUUGUUAGGAUAGAGGCCUACUAAUUGGUCUUAACGGGGUAACGGGGAAUUAGGGAUCGACUCCGGAGAGGGAGCCUGAGAAACGGCUACCACAUCCAAGGAAGGCAGCAGGCGCGCAAAUUACCCAAUGCUAAUUCAGCGAGGUAGUGACAAUAAAUACUGAUACGGGGCUCUUUCGGGUCUCGUAAUUGGAAUGAGUACAAUCUAAAUCCCUUAACGAGGAACAAUUGGAGGGCAAGUCUGGUGCCAACAGCC
This 553-nucleotide ribosomal RNA is filed under the name Fonsecaea pedrosoi. RNAcentral's name for it is "SSU rRNA". It matches the Rfam family "Eukaryotic small subunit ribosomal RNA", at positions 20 to 575 of the family's 1831-position model. The record is from RNAcentral. Lineage: Eukaryota; Fungi; Ascomycota; Eurotiomycetes; Chaetothyriales; Herpotrichiellaceae.